UGUAUUGCCUCCUUGGCUUCUUUGUUUUCCAGACUCUCCUCCUCUGGUGCAACUAACUUGGAGCAGCGGUACUUACCUGGUUCCUAAAGUCAGGUUGAUUCUGCUUUUGUCACAGAUUUGUUUGCUCCAUCAUGUUACAGACCUCUUGGUGGUUUUCUCUACCAGAGCUGGGGCCACCAGGUCACUGGGCCUAAAGAAUGCAGAUUGUCUGGACCCCCACGACCUCACCAGACAAUGAUGCAAGCACGCCAGCUGUUCAUCCAAGUUCCAAUGAAAUGACUACAGAGAUUACUUAAGAAGCCAUGCCCUACAUCUGUAAUUCCAAGAUUCAGGAUGUAGAAACAAGAAGAUCCAUGCAAGUUAGAGGUCAGCCUGGUCAACACAGUGAGUUUUAGGUCAGCUAAGACUCUGUCUCAAAUAAGCCAACAAACAAAACCCCAAAAUUAUAUACUAGGGAAAUGGCUUAGUAGUUGAGAGUGUGUGUUGCUAUUCCAGGGAAUCUGAAUGUGGUUCCCAGCACCCAAUUCUGACAGAUUACAACCACGUGUAAUUCCAGGUCCAGGAGAUCUGAUGCGCUCUCAGGCCUCCAUGGAUUUGUAUCACACAUAAGCAUACUCAUGCACAUGAACACUUACAUGCACACACUCAUAAGUAAAGAUUAAAAGUAAUCUUUAAAAAGUUAUUAGUGACCUGGCUCUUUGAAGAAACGGCCAAUCAACCCUCACAGAGGUUUUAGAUAAUGAAACAGAUGAACAAUGGCAGGUUUUGAGGAAGGCAAAGGCGCUGUUCAGAACAGCUGAGUUCUGAGUUACAUUUUUAUAGCCCUUACCUUCCUUUCUCAUCAGUCACUAAUAGUGAAGACCUUCAGAUAAGGAAGGGAGUAUCCACCCAUGUUCGUAUAACUCUUCACCCCUAGCAGACAAAGGAAUGCAAAGUCUGACCCAAGAGGGGUGACAGCUGCAUUGUAAGGCAGGUGUCUCAAGUGACAUGGCACUCAGCAUCAUUUCUAUAAAGCACAGAUUGUCAAACUGUUUCCCACAGGACCAAUCUAGACCAUUGCCUGCUUUUGUAUAGAAUGUGAGCGAGUAAAGUUUUGCUCUUUUAAAAAUGAAAAACGAC
RNAcentral lists this long non-coding RNA (1119 nucleotides) under Mus spicilegus (steppe mouse). Its description in RNAcentral is "lncRNA (ENSMSIG00000010871.1)". The record is from RNAcentral. Lineage: Eukaryota; Metazoa; Chordata; Mammalia; Rodentia; Muridae.